Podarcis lilfordi (Lilford's wall lizard) is the source of this 72-nucleotide non-coding RNA. The record is from the annotation of a GenBank genome assembly. NCBI's taxonomy places the organism in Eukaryota, Metazoa, Chordata, Lepidosauria, Squamata, Lacertidae.
GAAUGGCUCAGGGGUAGAGCAUCUAUCUGCCCUGCAUGCGGAAGGCUGCAGUUUCAAUCGCUGGCAUCUCCA